AUUGAACGCUGGCGGCAGGCUUAACACAUGCAAGUCGAGCGAGCGGCGGACGGGUGAGUAAUGUCUGGGAAACUGCCUGAUGGAAGGGGAUAACUACUGGAAACGGUAGCUAAUACCGCAUACAAUCAGAUGUGCCCAGAUGGGAUUAGCUAGUCGGUGGGGUAAUGGCUCACUUAGGCGACGAUCACUAGCUGGUCUGAGAGGAUGACCAGCCACACUGGAACUGAGACACGGGCCAGACUCCUACGGUAGGCAGCAGUGGGGAAUAUUGCACAAUGGGCUCAAGCCUGAUUGAGCCAUGCCGCGUGUGUGAAGAAGGCCUUCGGGUUGUAAAGCACUUUCAGCGAGGAGUCGUUACUCGCAGAAGAAGCACCGGCUAACUCCGUGCCAGCAGCGGCGGUAAUAC
This 406-nucleotide ribosomal RNA is filed under the name uncultured bacterium. RNAcentral describes it as "partial 16S ribosomal RNA". It matches the Rfam family "Bacterial small subunit ribosomal RNA", at positions 30 to 526 of the family's 1533-position model. The record is from RNAcentral.